AAAAUAAAUUUUAAAUAAAACACCAAACAUUGUAAUGUUAUCUCUUGACCAAAGUUUUCAACUUCGAUCUCUUCUUUCUUUCGUAGGUAUGUUGAAAGUAAAUAAUUAAUAGCAUCAUAUGUAUAGAUACUAAAUAAUUUAAUCAUAUAGAUACUAAAAUUUAAUCAUAUAUAUUUUCUGGAUCUCUCAGAAAUUGGCCGAAAAAGAAAAAAACGCAACAAUUAUUCAAGAUGGCUUAGAUGGAGAAGCAUUCUUUCUGGGUUUAUCUUCAUAUUUUUUAUGCAUUUUAGAAAGAAAUUACGCUAUGAAGCCUCAACCUUACAACAAAGCAAUCAACUAAAGAUGCUCAUUCUACCAAAACGAAAUUCAGUUUGAAGUUUAGAACUGAUCAAUCUUGAAGCCUUAAUUCUGUGCUCCAUUGUCAAAUCUGACCUUCAUAUUUCAAACGUUUUGCAGUGUCAAAAUUUGAAGAAUAUGAAAAAUUGGGGGAAUUGAGGUGAAAUUAAUGGUAGAUUUAGACUAGGUUAAAAAAUGAUGCUGAAAGUAGAAGAUGAAGCUCAUAUUUUCUUCAACUUCAUAUUUGCAAAUAUUCAUGAUUCCAUAUUUCCACGGUUUGUUCUUCGACUAUGGAUAGAAUGAGAGGAGAAGAGAAGAGCGGUGAAGGAGUUAC
RNAcentral lists this long non-coding RNA (670 nucleotides) under Nicotiana benthamiana. Its description in RNAcentral is "long non-coding RNA (NBEN_LNC021938)". Lineage: Eukaryota; Viridiplantae; Streptophyta; Magnoliopsida; Solanales; Solanaceae. The record is from RNAcentral.